Molecule: non-coding RNA, 73 nt
Organism: Podarcis lilfordi (Lilford's wall lizard)
Lineage: Eukaryota; Metazoa; Chordata; Lepidosauria; Squamata; Lacertidae
Source: the annotation of a GenBank genome assembly
AGCCAUUUAGCUCAGUUGGUAGAGCAUGAAUCUCUUAAUCGCAGAGUUGUGGGUUUGAGACCCACAUUGGGCA